GGGCGGGUAGCUCAGCUGGCUAGAGCGUCUGGUUUACACCCAGGAAGUCGUGGGUUCGAGUCCCUCCCCGCCCACCA
RNAcentral lists this transfer RNA (77 nucleotides) under Armatimonadia bacterium. RNAcentral describes it as "tRNA-Val". It matches the Rfam family "tRNA". From Rfam's summary of the family: Transfer RNA (tRNA) molecules are approximately 80 nucleotides in length. Their secondary structure includes four short double-helical elements and three loops (D, anti-codon, and T loops). The record is from RNAcentral. Lineage: Bacteria; Bacillati; Armatimonadota; Armatimonadia.